This 458-nucleotide ribosomal RNA is filed under the name uncultured bacterium. Its description in RNAcentral is "partial 16S ribosomal RNA". It matches the Rfam family "Bacterial small subunit ribosomal RNA", at positions 338 to 795 of the family's 1533-position model. The record is from RNAcentral.
CCUACGGGAGGCAGCAGUGAGGAAUAUUGGUCAAUGGGCGAGAGCCUGAACCAGCCAAGUCGCGUGAGGGAGUACUGCCCUAUGGGUUGUAAACCUCUUUUGUCGGGGAGCAAAAGCCGGACGUGUCCGGCUGUGAGAGUACCCGAAGAAAAAGCAUCGGCUAACUCCGUGCCAGCAGCCGCGGUAAUACGGAGGAUGCGAGCGUUAUCCGGAUUUAUUGGGUGUAAAGGGUGCGCAGGCGGAUUUUUAAGUCAGCGGUAAAAUCGUGGGGCUCAACCCCAUCCAGCCGUUGAAACUGGGGAUCUAGAGUGUGCGAGAGGUAUGCGGAAUGCGUGGUGUAGCGGUGAAAUGCAUAGAUAUCACGCAGAACCCCGAUUGCGAAGGCAGCAUACCGGUGCACAACUGACGCUCAGGCACGAAAGCGUGGGUAUCGAACAGGAUUAGAUACCCGAGUAGUC